CCUACGGGAGGCAGCAGUGAGGAAUAUUGGUCAAUGGGCGAAAGCCUGAACCAGCCAAGUAGCGUGCAGGAUGACGGCCCUACGGGUUGUAAACUGCUUUUAUAGGGGAAUAAAGGGCCGUACGUGUAGGUCUUUGCAUGUACCAUAUCAAUAAGGACCGGCUAAUUCCGUGCCAGCAGCCGCGGUAAUACGGAAGGUCCGGGCGUUAUCCGGAUUUAGUGGGUUUAAAGGGAGCGUAGGCGGGAUGGCAAGCCAGAUGUGAAAUCUACGGGCUCAACCCGGGCAUUGCAGCUGGUACUGGCAUGCUUGAGUAGGGGAGAGGUAGGCGGAAUUCGUGGUGUAGCGGUGAAAUGCGUAGAGAUGACGAAGAAUACCGAUUGCGAAGGCAGCUUGCUGGAGCGGAACUGACGCUGAUGCGCGAAAGCGUGGGGAGCGAACAGGAUUAGAUACCCGGGUAGUC
RNAcentral lists this ribosomal RNA (460 nucleotides) under uncultured bacterium. RNAcentral describes it as "partial 16S ribosomal RNA". It matches the Rfam family "Bacterial small subunit ribosomal RNA", at positions 338 to 795 of the family's 1533-position model. The record is from RNAcentral.